GCGGGGGUCGCCAAGCCUGGUCAAAUUCGCUCAGCUUCGGCUGAGCAAAGCCAGCGGCGCAGGACUGAGGCUCCUGUCCCGAAGGGGUUCGUGGGUUCAAAUCCCACCCCCCGCA
Molecule: transfer RNA, 115 nt
Filed under: Candidatus Caldarchaeum sp.
Lineage: Archaea; Thermoproteati; Nitrososphaerota; Candidatus Caldarchaeales; Candidatus Caldarchaeaceae
Description: tRNA-Leu
Rfam family: tRNA
About the family: Transfer RNA (tRNA) molecules are approximately 80 nucleotides in length. Their secondary structure includes four short double-helical elements and three loops (D, anti-codon, and T loops).
Source: RNAcentral